AGGGGAGUAGCUCAAUUGGCAGAGCACCGGUCUCCAAAACCGGGUGUUGUGGGUUCGAGUCCCGCCUCCCCUGCCA
Molecule: transfer RNA, 76 nt
Filed under: Bacillota bacterium
Lineage: Bacteria; Bacillati; Bacillota
Description: tRNA-Trp
Rfam family: tRNA
About the family: Transfer RNA (tRNA) molecules are approximately 80 nucleotides in length. Their secondary structure includes four short double-helical elements and three loops (D, anti-codon, and T loops).
Source: RNAcentral